Molecule: long non-coding RNA, 212 nt
Filed under: Manihot esculenta (cassava)
Lineage: Eukaryota; Viridiplantae; Streptophyta; Magnoliopsida; Malpighiales; Euphorbiaceae
Description: long non-coding RNA (MESC_LNC010817)
Source: RNAcentral
UAUAAUGCCACAUGUCGCUAUCAUACAGAACUGUACGUAUGGACGUACUCCUCCCUCUCUCCAUCGUCAGGCGACUAUUUAAUUUCCUCCAGCGCUCGUGUUGACAGGGUCAUAGGUGUAGAUGGGUCUGUUCCCCCACUGACCCAUCAAGUCAGGUGAGCUGGAUCCCUCUUUAGUGAGCCCGGGCCCCAGUCUGCCCGGCCUGCUCGAAC